RNAcentral lists this transfer RNA (55 nucleotides) under Wadicosa fidelis. RNAcentral's name for it is "tRNA-Leu". Lineage: Eukaryota; Metazoa; Arthropoda; Arachnida; Araneae; Lycosidae. The record is from RNAcentral.
AUAAUAUUGGCAGAAUAAUGCAUUAGAAUUAGAAUCUAAUUAACUACAUAUAAUU